RNAcentral lists this long non-coding RNA (3259 nucleotides) under Nicotiana benthamiana. RNAcentral describes it as "long non-coding RNA (NBEN_LNC019335)". The record is from RNAcentral. Lineage: Eukaryota; Viridiplantae; Streptophyta; Magnoliopsida; Solanales; Solanaceae.
UAAACUACGACCAAAUCCUUGUUUAAGUAACUCCAUAUUUUCUCAUUGAUCCCAUUAAGAUUUAUUUUGCUUUCUUUAUGUCCCGUCGAUCUUUUUCUUUUCUUAUUUAUUUUUUUUCCUUCGUUUCUUAUUGGUUUUCCUCAAGUUCAAUUUUUUUUUCCCUCAACUCCGAUAUUAUAUUUAUCAUUGAUGUAGUCAUGUUCGCUUUUCUCAAGAAACAAUUUCCUCCAUCGCCCUUGAGUCGCUCUAAUUUUGUAGUAAUCACUAAAAAGAGGUUGCCCGAGCUGAGCACGAGCCCAACACUAACUGACAAUUAAUAAGCAGUGCGAAAAAAGUUCAGUAGUUUAUCUUGUUGGGUAAAAAAUCCAUAGAGUCGUAAUUAACAUAACUACAUUCUGCAUUCAACCCAAAAAAGAAAAAAGAAACAACUAUUUUUGUAUAGUUUAGUGUGAUGGGUAUGUUGUUGUGGCGUGAUUCUGAAAUAUAAUAGAAUCUUGCUUGUCCAUCACCCAUACAAAGGCAGAAACUUCAAUCCAGAGCAAUGGAAGCUGACAAUAUUACAAGAGACAACAGUGUCACCAUAGUUUCAGGCAAAGAAGAAUAAGUAUGUAUGGAGAAAGCUAGUAAUAUUAAUUCAGUACCUAGCUACUUGAAAUCCUACGUCAAGGUAUUAAUACAUUAUACAUAAUAAGACCAAUUAGGUUAAGCAAAUUAAACAAUUUACUCAACUUUUCAUAUUUAAUGAGCUUAAAUGGUACAUCAUCUAUUGAGUGAAAAGCCACUUUAGGGAGGUGGAAUCCAAGUGGUAAUGAAGCUUCAACAUCUACAAAGAAUCUGCAAAGCGAGAAAUAGAAAAGAAUAUAAGAAAAAAAGGAAAAACAAUAAUUAAGUAAUUAUCUUUGCACUCAAUUUAUAAAUAAGUCAAAUAAAAGAUGAUGGUUGGAGAGUAUGUGUACUUCAAUAUAAAGUUAAUGAUAUUCAAAUUCCUAUUCUGCUUUGAUAGUUAUUAGACUUGGAUGUAACUAAUUAGGGGAAAGCAGUACAGCUUAUUACUUUUUGAAGAGAGUGAAUUUUAGCCCAAUAGAACUUUGUGAUCUAAUAGGCAUUACAUGAAUAGCAAAAUUAAUUGUAGUUUGUCCAUGAUCACUUAAUAAUCAAUAAGGAGUAAUUUGAAGCAAUAUUCCUUUGUCACGAUUCAAAAUUCAAUAUAGGUCAUGAUGACGGUUAAUACUGCCGUCAGGCAAGCCAACAUUGUUUGAUCCACUUAAUUCUUCAUUUUUAUUACUUUUGAAAUCGUAAUUUCCUUUAAUUAAAUAAUAUGAAAUAGAAUUUACAGGGUGAAACAAUGAUAAUUGCCUGAACUACCAUACUAAACAUCCAAUAGGAACCCCCCAACUUCCGAUAUCACAAGUGCAUGAGUAUCAACUAGGAAAUAUAUUAGCAAAUAACACCUGUGUAGAAUACAAAUUAGACAGGAGAAUGUAAAUAACUCCAAUGGGGACUCUAUAUGCUGCGAAUUCGGAUAUGGAAUGCAGCUCACUGUAAGUCCUCACAUUACCCGCACCUCUGACCAUUAGACAUAUAUGUAUCUGUGUCGCGCCCCUUUUUCUCGCGAAAUCGGGUUUCAACAUUUCUAAGACAACUCCCCUUACUUUUGGGACGGAGUAAGGGAAUUGAAGAGUAGCCAUUUAACAGAUUAAGGUGGGUUAAGGCACCUAGAGCAGAAACUAGUUUACAUCACUAGAGAUCGGGAAAGGGCUCAAAAUUACCUUGAGGAGAAGGUGUUAGUCACCUUAAAUUGAACAUACAAUUGAAUUAUACAGGGUUUCACAUUAUUGCAGAUAACUUAGUUUUGCAUCAUCACUAAGUGGAACCAUAUAGUCAUAUAGCAAACAGAACCAUGCUGAGGUUUUGAAAUAAACUAGCCAAGUAAGCACAUAGAACAGAAUAGGGUAACCGUAGAUUAAAGCAUACUAGUUGAGAAGAAAUCAAACAUGAAUGCAACAACAAUUUCAAUCCAGAGAAUCUAGCCUUGGUUUUCAGCCGGCCAAACAGUGCAGAAUCAGAACAAUAGAAAGGGAGCUUAAGUUUUUUAGAACAGAGAAUUUGAAAGUUAUAAGGUUGUUCAGUGAAGAUGUUGUAAAGCUUGUAAGUGUCUCCAUCCCUGUAAAAUCAGGACAAAGGAAGGGCCUUUUAUAGCAUACAUUAGAGUAAAAUAAAUAAGAUAUAGAAUUAAUUGCACACAAAUAAGGUAUGAAAAUCAGUUGGUCAAUCAACCUAUGGUCAACAUGAAUCAAUUAAGAGAACAAAAUCAAAUAAGUACCACUUUAUUUAAGGAAAAUCUCACUUGGAAUCAAUUAAUAUCUAAGAAUGAGGUCAAAUAAAUUAUGAACUAAUUCCACAAUCAAUUAGGAGUUAGGACACAAAAUCAGCCAGUAAUACAAGGACAUAAAUAAGGUAAGAAAAAGUAAGAACUUAAUAAGGAAACACAUGUACUAAAUUCAAACCCUAAUAUAGGUAAGUAAAUCAAUUAACACUUACUUGACAGAGUUGAAGGUAAACGACAAAACAUUAUAAUAAAAAGUCGAAUAAUUGAAACCGGAAGACAUAUCAAAGACAUAAAGAUGAAACUCAAGUACAAAUCAACCAAAAAAGUAAAGAAGAAAAUCGGAGUUGAAAAUAUUUAAACGUUUAAACAUUUUUUUGCCAAAAACCCUAUUUUUUAGAGUAAAAUAAAAUCUGUUAACAAUAAUAGUAGAAUCAAAAUAUCUUAAGAUAAAAUUCAGAACAAACUUAAAAUCGCUUCAGAUCUAAAGAGAUCUAAACGGAUUCAACUAUAAAAGGCUAAGUUUGUGGAAAUGACUAGAUGUGAAUCAAAUCUGGUUUGAACCAGAGAUUUGAAACUAUAAAAUACGAAAAUAUCAGUACUCAUAGAUAUCGGAGUGAACAUAGAUGCAUUAAUCAAGAAAUGAGAGACUACGAACCAAAUAUGGUUGAAUCUCUUUAGAUUGUCCUCAAGUAACAUGAAAAUCAUACAAACAGUAGAGAGAUGAGGAUGGAUAUGGCAUGAAAUAGAAGGAAAACCCCAUGAAUCAAGGGGGAUAUCAGUGACGUGGGCUAGGGCUAGAAGAGGGGUGAGAGAGGAGAGGAAAGAUGAGGAUUGAAGGACGACAAAUUGGAAAAAUGGGGGGAGGGGGGUAGGGUUUAGGGGUUGGUGUAAUUAAAAAGGAAAGCUGAUCCUAGAAUUAAAUUUAGGCUG